This 2922-nucleotide ribosomal RNA is filed under the name Klebsiella pneumoniae. RNAcentral's name for it is "23S ribosomal RNA". It matches the Rfam family "Bacterial large subunit ribosomal RNA". The record is from RNAcentral. Lineage: Bacteria; Pseudomonadati; Pseudomonadota; Gammaproteobacteria; Enterobacterales; Enterobacteriaceae.
GGGUUGUGAGGUUAAGCGACUAAGCGUACACGGUGGAUGCCCUGGCAGUCAGAGGCGAUGAAGGACGUGCUAAUCUGCGAAAAGCGUCGGUAAGGUGAUAUGAACCGUUAUAACCGGCGAUGUCCGAAUGGGGAAACCCAGUGCAAUUCGUUGCACUAUCGUUAACUGAAUACAUAGGUUAACGAGGCGAACCGGGGGAACUGAAACAUCUAAGUACCCCGAGGAAAAGAAAUCAACCGAGAUUCCCCCAGUAGCGGCGAGCGAACGGGGAGCAGCCCAGAGUCUGAAUCAGCUUGUGUGUUAGUGGAACGGUCUGGAAAGUCCGACGGUACAGGGUGAUAGUCCCGUACACCAAAAUGCACAGGCUGUGAACUCGAAGAGUAGGGCGGGACACGUGGUAUCCUGUCUGAAUAUGGGGGGACCAUCCUCCAAGGCUAAAUACUCCUGACUGACCGAUAGUGAACCAGUACCGUGAGGGAAAGGCGAAAAGAACCCCGGCGAGGGGAGUGAAAAAGAACCUGAAACCGUGUACGUACAAGCAGUGGGAGCACCUUCGGGUGUGACUGCGUACCUUUUGUAUAAUGGGUCAGCGACUUAUAUUCUGUAGCAAGGUUAACCGUAUAGGGGAGCCGCAGGGAAACCGAGUCUUAACUGGGCGUUAAGUUGCAGGGUAUAGACCCGAAACCCGGUGAUCUAGCCAUGGGCAGGUUGAAGGUUGGGUAACACUAACUGGAGGACCGAACCGACUAAUGUUGAAAAAUUAGCGGAUGACUUGUGGCUGGGGGUGAAAGGCCAAUCAAACCGGGAGAUAGCUGGUUCUCCCCGAAAGCUAUUUAGGUAGCGCCUCGUGAACUCAUCUUCGGGGGUAGAGCACUGUUUCGGCUAGGGGGUCAUCCCGACUUACCAACCCGAUGCAAACUACGAAUACCGAAGAAUGUUAUCACGGGAGACACACGGCGGGUGCUAACGUCCGUCGUGAAGAGGGAAACAACCCAGACCGCCAGCUAAGGUCCCAAAGUCAUGGUUAAGUGGGAAACGAUGUGGGAAGGCACAGACAGCCAGGAUGUUGGCUUAGAAGCAGCCAUCAUUUAAAGAAAGCGUAAUAGCUCACUGGUCGAGUCGGCCUGCGCGGAAGAUGUAACGGGGCUAAACCAUGCACCGAAGCUGCGGCAGCGACACUAUGUGUUGUUGGGUAGGGGAGCGUUCUGUAAGCCUGCGAAGGUGACCUGUGAGGGUUGCUGGAGGUAUCAGAAGUGCGAAUGCUGACAUAAGUAACGAUAAAGCGGGUGAAAAGCCCGCUCGCCGGAAGACCAAGGGUUCCUGUCCAACGUUAAUCGGGGCAGGGUGAGUCGACCCCUAAGGCGAGGCCGAAAGGCGUAGUCGAUGGGAAACAGGUUAAUAUUCCUGUACUUGGUGUUACUGCGAAGGGGGACGGAGAAGGCUAUGUUAGCCGGGCGACGGUUGUCCCGGUUUAAGCAUGUAGGCUGAUUGUCCAGGCAAAUCCGGAUAAUCAAGGCUGAGGUGUGAUGACGAGGCACUACGGUGCUGAAGUAACAAAUGCCCUGCUUCCAGGAAAAGCCUCUAAGCAUCAGGUAACAUCAAAUCGUACCCCAAACCGACACAGGUGGUCAGGUAGAGAAUACCAAGGCGCUUGAGAGAACUCGGGUGAAGGAACUAGGCAAAAUGGUGCCGUAACUUCGGGAGAAGGCACGCUGGUGUGUAGGUGAAGUCCCUGCGGAUGGAGCUGAGACCAGUCGAAGAUACCAGCUGGCUGCAACUGUUUAUUAAAAACACAGCACUGUGCAAACACGAAAGUGGACGUAUACGGUGUGACGCCUGCCCGGUGCCGGAAGGUUAAUUGAUGGGGUUAUCCGUAAGGAGAAGCUCUUGAUCGAAGCCCCGGUAAACGGCGGCCGUAACUAUAACGGUCCUAAGGUAGCGAAAUUCCUUGUCGGGUAAGUUCCGACCUGCACGAAUGGCGUAAUGAUGGCCAGGCUGUCUCCACCCGAGACUCAGUGAAAUUGAACUCGCUGUGAAGAUGCAGUGUACCCGCGGCAAGACGGAAAGACCCCGUGAACCUUUACUAUAGCUUGACACUGAACAUUGAGCCUUGAUGUGUAGGAUAGGUGGGAGGCUUUGAAGCGUGGACGCCAGUCUGCGUGGAGCCAACCUUGAAAUACCACCCUUUAAUGUUUGAUGUUCUAACGUUGGCCCCUUACCGGGGUUGCGGACAGUGUCUGGUGGGUAGUUUGACUGGGGCGGUCUCCUCCCAAAGCGUAACGGAGGAGCACGAAGGUUAGCUAAUCCUGGUCGGACAUCAGGAGGUUAGUGCAAUGGCAUAAGCUAGCUUGACUGCGAGCGUGACGGCGCGAGCAGGUGCGAAAGCAGGUCAUAGUGAUCCGGUGGUUCUGAAUGGAAGGGCCAUCGCUCAACGGAUAAAAGGUACUCCGGGGAUAACAGGCUGAUACCGCCCAAGAGUUCAUAUCGACGGCGGUGUUUGGCACCUCGAUGUCGGCUCAUCACAUCCUGGGGCUGAAGUAGGUCCCAAGGGUAUGGCUGUUCGCCAUUUAAAGUGGUACGCGAGCUGGGUUUAGAACGUCGUGAGACAGUUCGGUCCCUAUCUGCCGUGGGCGCUGGAGAAUUGAGGGGGGCUGCUCCUAGUACGAGAGGACCGGAGUGGACGCAUCACUGGUGUUCGGGUUGUCAUGCCAAUGGCACUGCCCGGUAGCUAAAUGCGGAAGAGAUAAGUGCUGAAAGCAUCUAAGCACGAAACUUGCCCCGAGAUGAGUUCUCCCUGAGACUUUAAGUCUCCUGAAGGAACGUUAAAGACGAUGACGUUGAUAGGCCGGGUGUGUAAGCGCAGCGAUGCGUUGAGCUAACCGGUACUAAUGAACCGUGAGGCUUAACCUUACAACGCCGAAG